This 404-nucleotide ribosomal RNA is filed under the name uncultured bacterium. Its description in RNAcentral is "partial 16S ribosomal RNA". It matches the Rfam family "Bacterial small subunit ribosomal RNA", at positions 30 to 526 of the family's 1533-position model. The record is from RNAcentral.
AUUGAACGCUAGCGGGAUGCUUUACACAUGCAAGUCGAACGAGUGGCGGACGGGUGAGUAAUAUAUCGGAACGUGCCCAGUAGCGGGGAUAAAUACGUGAAAGAGUGGCUAAUACCGCAUACUCAUGGAGACGCCCAUAGCGGAUUAGCUAUUUGGUGGGGUAAAGGCGCACCAAGGCAACGAUCCGUAGCUGGUUUGAGAGGACGACCAGCCACACUGGGACUGAGACACGGCCCAGACUCCUACGGGAGGCAGCAGUGGGGAAUUUUGGACAAUGGGGGAAACCCUGAUCCAGCCAUCCCGCGGGUAUGAGAAGGCCUUCGGGUUGUAAAGUACUUUUGGCAGAGAAGCGGUAUCUGCAGAAUAAGCACCGGCUAACUACGUGCCAGCAGCCGCGGUAAUAC